Molecule: non-coding RNA, 72 nt
Organism: Parelaphostrongylus tenuis
Lineage: Eukaryota; Metazoa; Nematoda; Chromadorea; Rhabditida; Metastrongylidae
Source: the annotation of a GenBank genome assembly
GCGUCGGUGGUGCAACGGCUAGCAUACACUCCCUGGAAGAAGUGAGAUCCGGUUCGAAUCCCGGCUGACGCG